GCCCUGAUGCCCAUUGGCCUGUGGGUUGCAAUAUCAUCAUAAUUCCUACUAAGCAACCCAUUAGCCUCACUCUUGAGGUAUUGCCAACUCACCGAAGUUCCCCAGAACUUCAGACCCACUUCUCCCACUCCUCUGCUGAGGGUAAGCAGAGAAUGAAAGGUACUGCUCCGGAGGACUGUGGCAAACUCUAUACACUGAAGUCAUUUUGUCCUUUCACUGAGCAACUUCCCUGUACCAGGAAUUAGAAUCUGCACAUUGAAAAGGCCCAGAACCCUCCUGCUCUAGUGUGGCAGGCACUUUUGUAAAUGUGUGACCUGCUGGUUUUGCUGGGAUGUGCACAUUUCUAAUAAUGGUGUUGAUCAACAAAGAGGACUUUGCAUGGCAGGGGCGUGCCCUCCCUCCAAAGCUGCUGUUUCAGAGGUUCCUCCACCAUGCAAGCCCUGGACCUGGGACACACUCACAGUCCCUAACAUGGUUGUGUUUUCCUGUGAGACAAGUGCCUCUUCCACCCGAAGAGCAUUUAGUGACUUCAAAUAGGGUCAGCGGUCCAGGCCUGGUGAAAGAGGGCAGGGAGAGAGACCCUGCUCAGCCACGGGGGAUCAGCUCGGGGGGAAAAAGCCUGCUCGUCACAAUGGAAAUACAUCAAGGCCAAAUCUUCUGCUAUCCAUUCCCAGAGGUUUCUUUCAUCUGGAUUAAGCCUGCAACUCCAGGGCAAGGCCAAGUGUGUGGCCUCCAGCAUCCAUGCUCUUC
Molecule: long non-coding RNA, 750 nt
Filed under: Homo sapiens (human)
Lineage: Eukaryota; Metazoa; Chordata; Mammalia; Primates; Hominidae
Description: HSALNT0013393
Source: RNAcentral